GUUGACAUUUGUUUUUGUUUUAUAACUCUUUAUGAAGGAGAUGCGAGUUAAACAGCAAGAAUCUCCUUUAAUUUCAGUCAAAGUUAGAAAUUCCUAAUGAUAUUUUGAUUUUUGAAGAUAAUAAAAUUGAGAAUGAAAAUGGGGAAUGUGUCAAAGAGACAACAACCCGACCAAAUAAAAAACAACAGCAGAGGGUCACCAACAGGUCUUCAAUGUAGCGAGAAAUUCCCGCACCCGGAGGCGUCCUUCAGCUGGCCCCUAAACAAAUAUAUACUAGUCCAGUGAUAAUGAACGCCAUACUAAUUUCCAAAUUGUACACAAGAAACUAAAAUCAAAAUAAUACAAGACUAACAAAGGCCAGAGGCUCCUGACUUGGGACAGGCGCAAAAAUGCAGCGGGGUUAAACAUGUUUGUGAGAUCUCAACCCUCCCCCUAUACCUCUAACCAAUGUAGAAAAGUAAACGCAUAACAAUACGCACAUUAAAAUUCA
RNAcentral lists this long non-coding RNA (490 nucleotides) under Mytilus galloprovincialis (Mediterranean mussel). Lineage: Eukaryota; Metazoa; Mollusca; Bivalvia; Mytilida; Mytilidae. The record is from RNAcentral.